RNAcentral lists this ribosomal RNA (499 nucleotides) under uncultured bacterium. Its description in RNAcentral is "bacterial SSU rRNA". It matches the Rfam family "Bacterial small subunit ribosomal RNA", at positions 28 to 526 of the family's 1533-position model. The record is from RNAcentral.
GAUGAACGCUAGCGGGAGGCCUAAUACAUGCAAGUCGAGCGGUAGAGUGACUUCGGUUGCUUGAGAGCGGCGAACGGGUGAGUAACGCGUACACAAUCUACCUUUAAGAGGGGAAUAGCCCUGGGAAACUGGGAUUAAUGCCCCAUGGCAUCACGAGACGGCAUCGUUUUGUGAUUAAAGCUGAGGUGCUUAGAGAUGAGUGUGCGUCUGAUUAGCUAGUUGGUGCGGUAACGGCGCACCAAGGCGACGAUCAGUAGGGGGCGUGAGAGCGUGGACCCCCACACGGGUACUGAGACACGGACCCGACUCCUACGGGAGGCAGCAGUAAGGAAUAUUGGUCAAUGGAGGAAACUCUGAACCAGCCAUCCCGCGUGCAGGAAGAAUGCCCUAUGGGUUGUAAACUGCUUUUAUCUGGGAAGAAAAGUCGGGAUUUAUCCUGAUCUGACGGUACCAGAGGAAUAAGCACCGGCUAACUCCGUGCCAGCAGCCGCGGUUAAAG